UUAAUAAAAAAUUUUAAAAUUUUCUUAUAUAUUUGGAAGUAUUUGUGGAAAAUAUUGAAGAUGUGAAAAGUGAUCAAUUGAAGAAAAUAUGGAGAUAUUGACAAUAAAACAUGAAAACUCUUUGAAAUUUUGUAGCAUUUUUGGUUUUUUAUAUUUUAUUUUGUAUCAAACAAAAUAUUGUACCGUUCUAUUUAUAGAUUAGUAAAUAAAAAAACUUUUUUUUAUGAUUUACUUACGAAUAUUAUAGUAUAAAAAUAUGAAUAUAUACACAUACACUUGAAAAAAUAUGAAUACAUACACCUAAAACGUCAACUUUUUUGGUUAUUAAAACUAUAGUUUUUUUUUAAUAAUAAAUAUUCAAUUUUUAAUUUAAAAGUUUAUAGAUUUUUAAAUAUUUACUGUUUUUUUUUUUAAAUUGCAUAUUAAAAAAAAGUAUUUUUUUUUCAUUUUUUUUAAAAUUCAUGUUUUCUAAAAAAAUUUCAAAAACCUACAAUUUUAAAGAAAAUCGAAAACUAAUAUUUAAAAAAAAAAUCUGAAAAUUUGAUUUGUUAUUUUAAUUUUUAGACAUUUUUAGUAAUAUUUAAAAAACUAAAAAAAAAUAAACAUUAAAUGAGAUUGGUAAAUCUAACGCUUAACCUUUAGUUCUCAGAAAACUAUUAGAUCUAACGAUCCACCUUUUGCAUUUUAAAAAUAUUUUUUCUUAUCUACAAAAUAAGUGGCUAGGAUUGCGUCUCACGAUCUCACAAAAUUAGACCGUCUCACAUGANUAAAAUCCCAAAGAUAGCUACCCCAAGCGAAACUAACAAAACAGAAAAACAAAAUUGGUUUUAAUAUAAAUUAUAACUUUAAUAAAAUAAAACUUUUAACGUAAACAAAAUAUACAUGUUCCAGACAUCCAAAUUCUCAGCAAAAAAAAACCAAUCUUGUGGCACCCGAACAUUUAUUUCUUUUCCCAAAAAACAUUCACACAAAAUGUAUAUCAAACAUACUCUAACUGCAUCUAUGUCGUCAACUUCUAAGAAUGUUCGAUUUAAAAUUAAAAGUUUCAGGUCGCCGAUUUUCACCGAACUAUUUGUAUGGUUCGGAAAUAGCCGCUCACGCAAUAAAUAUCUUUUUUUUACUAGUUACUAAUUUUUCCAACACUUUUUUCCCGAUGUUUUUUGGAUACUCCCCAAAAUUGAAGCCAGUUAUCAAACAAAACUCUUCCGGCCCAUAUACCAUUUUCGUAUUGUCUACUCUAAAAUAUAACCGUUUUAUUCCAUUUGGAGAUAAAACAGGGUCCAACUGGAUCCAAUGAAGGAACAUUUUAUGGAAUAACAAUCCGUCCCUUUGUAAACGAGGGACAUCCAUCAAAUAACCAAAUACGGUAUCUCUAAAAAUGGUACGCCUGACACCAUCUAAAACUUCAAAUACUUCCCAUAUAUUACCGCCCGAGCCUUUUAAGUUUACAAUUCUUUUCAUAUUGAAAAAACUAAAAUCAUGCUGCAAAAAAAACACAAAAACAAAUUAGAGAACUAAAAAAUAUUUUGUUUUUAAAAUAUAUGAUUAUUAACUGCAAUAAGUACAUAAACAAUAAUAAUUUUAGUAAUGCAAAUACAAAUUCUUAAUUAAUAAUUUAUAUAUUUACGAUAAAAAACAAUAACAUACACAUAUAUAAACAAUUUUCCAAGUUAUACAAUAGAUAUAUUUACGAUAAAAAACAAUAUCAUACACAAAUAUAUAAACAUUUUGUUAAACAAAUUUUCAACUUGAACGACAAAUAUAUAAACAAUUUUUAUCUUUCUAAUUAUAUAAACUAACAUUUUAUAACCAUAUAAACAAAUAAUUUUUCAAAUAAAACGACAACCAAAUUAACAAUUUUGCAAGUUAUACGACAAAUAUAUACAAAUUUUCAACUUAUACGAUAAAUACAAACAAUUUCUAACAAUACUAUAAAAAAAUUAUACUUCAAAAAUAAAUAUAUUUGUAUACAAAUGUUAUACUUAUACAACAAAUAUAUAUACAAACGACUAUUUUGCACAUACUGUAAUUUAACUAUUUUUCACUUUAUAUAAACAAUUAUACGAUAAGAAUAUACAAUUUUUCAAGUUAUACAACAACUAAACAAACAACAAAAAUAACAAAUUGUGAACAUUAUUCUAACAAUUUAUUUAACUAAUAACUUAAAAAAAAUAAGCAUAUUCUAACCAUUUUAGUAAAUGUAAAACCACCCGAUGCAUACUCUAUAUAGUCUCUACUUGUACAUUCAAACAACCACUAACAAAAUAGCAUUUAAAGUUCAAGUAUACUAGAGAAAUAUUAAAACUAUCAAAUACAACAAAAUUACCCUUUCACAAACAUUAUAAUUUCUAUUUUUUUUUACACUAAAUAAGACAAUAAAUAAUAAAAUAAUAAAGAGUUAAAACAUUAAAAGAGUUAAAUUCUAACCAUAUUUGCGGGAUUGUUGACAUAAUCCUCCAUUUUACUCAAAAAAUAGCCUAAAUCGCGAAAAUAGCCCCAAGAUAGAGAUGGUUUUUGUGUAGAGAAGAGUGAAGAAUGGAGAAAAAAACGUUUAUAUAGAGAAAAUGAGGGAAUUUCGCAGAUGGUUUGCUAAUUUCGCAGAUGGACCUUUCCAUCUGCGAAUGUACAAGUAGCUAAAGCACAGUUGUCCUUUAGCUGCUUGUAUAUUCGCAGAUGGAAAACCCAUUUCGCAGAUGAGACUAUUCCAUCUGCGAAAUUCAUGGUUAUUUUUGCAACUUCGGUUUUUUUGGCUAUUUUUGUAAUGUAAUUAGUGUAAAUGACUAUUUUUGUCAUUUUCUCUAAUAUAAAUACCAAAAUUAUUAUAAAUGAUUAAUUAUGACAAUGUUUAAAAAUUGUUUUUAGUGUACGGUAGCAACUUUUUGUUGUUUUGUUUGGGCAAGUUUAAAGUUUAUGUCUGUAUACAUUUUAUUUUAUUAUUCAUUUUGCUAUUAUAACUUAGAAUAUAGUUACAAAAUAUGAUUCUUAAAUAUAUUUACAGUUUCCAUUAAAUUAAUUUCUAAGGCGCAAUUUUAUUACAUUAAGAAAUCUAUUUUCUUAGUUUUAAAAUUGAUGACUAAGUUUUGGUGUCAUGAUUUGUUGAAAAUAAAAUAUGAUGAAAAUGAAUUUAUAUGUGAAUCAUAUGUGAUUCACAUGUAAAUUAUAUAUGAAUUACAUGUGAUUCACAUGUAAAUUACAAAUGAGUUAAAUGUGAUUCACAUAUAAAUCACAUAUGAAUUACAUGUGAUUCACAUGUAAAUUACAAAUAAAUUACAUGUGAUUCACAUGUAAAUCACAUAUGAAUUAUGUGAUUCAUUUGUGAUUUCACAUGUCAAUCACAAGUGAAUCACGUAUGAAUUACAUGUGAUUCACAUGUAAAUUACAAAUGAAUUACAUGUGUUUCACAUGUAAAUCACAAGUGAAUAACAUAUGAAUUACAUGUGAUUCACAUGUAAAUUACAAGUGAAUCACAUAUAAAUAGAGUCUAUAUGAAAACAUGCAUUUUGUGUGAGUGUUCUUCGAUAUUUUUAUUUUAUUUUAUAGUGAAUUUCACACUUGAAUCUUAAAAGAUACAAUCACAUGUGAAUAUCACAUUAUAUAAUCACAUAUGAAUCUUGCAUGAUGUGACAACCCGAAGUUCGUUCCGUCGUCGUAACCCGGAUUCCGUCAAUAAAGCCGCUACGUCCCAAUUUUUCCGUUAACUUUGUUUUAAAUUAAUUUAAUUGCGACUUCAAUUUAAAUUUCAUAAGUGUCGGGAUACAUAUUAAAACAUUAAAAUAUUUUCUAAUUUCAUUUAGAAAAUAUUUAGUUUCAUCUAAGUCGUAGUUAGUAUCGGGUAGAAUUUCACCGUGUCCAAAACUUUGAGCAUAUAUAAAGUUGAGAGAGCCUCAUUUGAAGCCUUUUCCACUCUCUCUCUACUUUCUCUCUCUAAAACUAUAAAUCAAGCCAAAAUCAUCCAAAUCAAGCUCCAAAUCAUCAAGGUAACUAUCAUAGCUCCUAGUAUAACACCUUUGGCCUUCAAAUUUGUGAAUUAUAUGAGAAAUAGGACCAUUAGCAUGAGUUUACGGUCCUAGAACAUCCCUAGGCCGUGAACUCACAUAAAAGGGGUUUUUGGGCCAUAAAACCCUUCCAAGCCUCAUUUGGAGCUUAGAUAUGACUAAGGGACUUAUUUACAUGGACUUAGAACACCUUUAACUCUUCAUUUGGGGCAUAAGCAUGAGUUUACGGCCCAAGCACAUGCUUGGACCGUAAACACCUAUUCAAGGGGAGUAAACUCAUUUUAAGGUGUUAGUUUGCCCCUAAACACCUCCAACAAGCUUCCAUGAGAGUUUAGAACCUUAAAAUCCUUCAAUAAAUGCACCAAAUCAUACACAAAUGGGACAAACUUGAGUUUACAGCCCAAGAACAUUCUUGGACCGGAAACUCAUCUCCUUAGACCUUAAACUCCUUUUUAGGUGUUAAAAUGCCACUUAAACACCUCAUAAGCCUUAGAAUGAAGUCUAGAAGCAACCACAAACAAAAUAAGGGCCUUAAACAUGCUAGAACAACCCCCAUAGGAGCUUACGGCCGUAAACCCCCCAAGAAUGGGUUCUUAGGCCGUAAACUCCUAAAUCAUGGUCAAAUGGUGCUUUAAACUCAUUCCAUGGCUUGUAGAAUUAGCUAGAAACACUUGUAAAGGCCUAUGACCACCAAAACAUCAAAGAAUUGAGUGUGGGGGAGUUUACGGCCGUAAACUCCUAGUUUACUGCCGUAAUACCCAUUAAAUGGUCCAUAUGUGAGUUUAAUCCAUUCCAAUGCCCUAGAUUUGAUCCUAGCUAACUUUCCCAAGUGAUAUAAGGCCAUUUAGCAUCAUAGAGCACCCACCAUGAGUUUACGACCGUAAACUCAUGGGGAGAGGGUCAUUAGGGCCGUAAACCCUCUUAUGAGUUUACUCUUGAGGAGUAAACUCCAUAUCCAAGCCUUAUACGUCCUUAGAUGUCACCCGGGUCACUCCAAACUAGGGGUGUAAGUGAGCCGAGCGACUCGGGAUCGACUCGUUAAAAGCUCGACUCGAGAUCGAAUUAAACGAGCCCGAGCCGAGCUCGAGCCCAAAUAUGAGGCNNNNNNNNNNNNNNNNNNNNNNNNNNNNNNNNNNNNNNNNNNNNNNNNNNNNNNNNNNNNNNNNNNNNNNNNNNNNNNNNNNNNNNNNNNNNNNNNNNNNNNNNNNNNNNNNNNNNNNNNNNNNNNNNNNNNNNNNNNNNNNNNNNNNNNNNNNNNNNNNNNNNNNNNNNNNNNNNNNNNNNNNNNNNNNNNNNNNNNNNNNNNNNNNNNNNNNNNNNNNNNNNNNNNNNNNNNNNNNNNNNNNNNNNNNNNNNNNNNNNNNNNNNNNNNNAGGCUCGGGCUCGGCUCGGCUCGUUUACACUCCUACUCCAAACACUUAUUUUGAAGUGUUUUCGCGUCUUAGAGUGUAUGAUCUUGUCUAAUUAGUGUUAGAUACAAUUGUGUAUCAUUUCAUAUUACAUAGGAACCUCACGUGCUAUCAAGCCCCGAUCUGACACUUAGCAUUCUAGACGACACGUUCUUCGACUGGUGAGUUCAUACCCCUACACCUUUUUCCGUGUUUUUCAAUGUUUUCAGGGGGGAAUACAAGCAAAACAAUAAAUGUUUUCAAAACCUAAAACUGAUGUAUUUCUAUAAAUAUCUGGCUAACUUUUAUAUAUCUCUACCCCUUAUGUAUUAUGUUGAGCAUAAAGGAUGUUUUAUCGAUUAUAACUACAUGGAUUUCAGUAAAGGAAACAAUCAAACUAAUCAAAUUAUUAUGGGAAUAAUUUGGGAUCUUCAGUUCUUGUUUUAUGAAUUCGGAUUUCAAGUAAUGUUAAUAGAUAAACUAUGCCUGAUUCAGUUUAUCUCUGUUUAUUGUAAAGUAUUAUGCUAGAUAGUUUCUUUGUAUUAAACUGUUCUUACCGUAUUAUGUUCCAAAGUGAUUAGUAUGUCUGAUAUCGUCCGAGAACACCGUGAAUAAUUUAGUACUAGCUUGUGAGAUUCGUCGUUACCAUUUGGGUUAUCAAUAAAUCCUCCCCGAAAGUGUAACCAGAGUCUCCUGGAGGGAGAGUGUGGAAUUUGUGAAUAGAUCUAUUCGGGACUGACAAUCCCACACCUAAACUGCUAGCUACAGUUAGGCGGGCACGCCUGGGGUGACAAAUUCUGGAUAUCGUCCGACGUCUGACGAAUGUCAGGAGGUCUCGGUGUCGCAUCAACAUUGUUACCCGACUCACAAUACGUAUUAAUAUAAAUUUAUUCACGAAUUUGAUUUUAUAUCUAUCAUCUAUAUAUAGUUCUUGUAUCUAGUAAAGGAUGGUAGUCACAUGGUUUUCAAUCUAUAUCUAGUACGGGAUGGUAGUCCCAUGGUUUUCAAUCUAUAUCUAUCUAUAGUUUCGCGUAUAUCAAACUAUCUUAUAUUUAGUACGGGAGAGUAUUCCCAUGGUUUUCAAUCUAUAUCUAGUACGGGAUGGUAGUCCCAUGGUUUUCAAAUCUAUAUCUAUCUUUAGUUUCACGUAUAUCAAACUAUCUUAUAUUUAGUAUGGGAUGGUAUUCCCAUGACGUUCAAUCAAUAGUUUUCGUGUAUUAAGGCUAUCUUAUAUCUAGUGCAGGAUAGUAAUCCCAUGAUUUACAAUAUAUAGUUUUACGUAUUAAACUAUACAAUGUUACAUUUAACGAAAAUUCAGAAUUUUAACUAAACUUUACUUUUAGGAAAAUAAGGGUUUUUCCUGGGAUAACUGAACUGUUCUUAACUAGAUCGAGUAACCAAAUGGAUAACUUAACUAUACUUAUAAGAAAAUAUGAGAUUUUCUUGGAUAACAAACUUUUCGGAGAACCAAAGGAAACUUAUACAUUUUCAGAAAACAAACAUCUUAUGAACUCACCAGUUUUAUGCUGAUUUUCAAACUGCUUGUAUUCUCAGGUCCACGUUAGACAGGUACCCAACAAUCCUUUUGGCGAAGACAGAGUGCGUAGAAGACACGUCUUUACUUUUGUUCAUAUGAUAUGUAUAUGUAUAACACAUGUAACUCUUUGUUUUCAAACAAAUGUAAAUGAAUCUAUGUAAUGUAAACUUUUGUGUUUACUAUUCUUGCUAUGUACAUUGGUUGCGAUAUACAUGAUGUCCUCUGCCCCGGAGCGUUUCCGCCUUCGAUUUCGGGGUGUGACACAUGAUAUACACAUAUGCAUUUUUACGAGUGUUAUUGCAUUAAUCAAAUUUUUUAAAAUUAUCUUAUAGAUUUGGAAGUAUUUGUGGAAAAUAUUGAAGAUGUGAAAAAUGAUCAAUUGAAGAAAAUAUGGAGAUAUUGACACGAAAACAUGAAAACUCUUUGAAAUUUUGUAACAUUUUUGGUUUUUUAUAUUUUAUUUUGUAUCAAACAAAAUAUUGUACUGUUGUGUUUAUAGAUUAGUAAAUAAUUUUUUUU
RNAcentral lists this long non-coding RNA (7439 nucleotides) under Lactuca sativa (garden lettuce). RNAcentral describes it as "long non-coding RNA (LSAT_LNC001949)". Lineage: Eukaryota; Viridiplantae; Streptophyta; Magnoliopsida; Asterales; Asteraceae. The record is from RNAcentral.